This 253-nucleotide ribosomal RNA is filed under the name uncultured bacterium. Its description in RNAcentral is "partial 16S ribosomal RNA". It matches the Rfam family "Bacterial small subunit ribosomal RNA", at positions 524 to 776 of the family's 1533-position model. The record is from RNAcentral.
UACAGAGGGUGCGAGCGUUAAUCGGAGUUACUGGGCGUAAAGGGCGCGUAGGCGGUCGGAUAUGUGUGAUGUGAAAUCCCCGGGCUUAACCUGGGAAGUGCAUCGCAAACUGUUUGACUGGAGUAUAUGAGAGGGUGUCGGAAUUUCCGGUGUAGCGGUGAAAUGCGUAGAGAUCGGAAGGAACGUCGAUGGCGAAGGCAGGCACCUGGCAUAAUACUGACGCUGAGGCGCGAAAGCGUGGGGAGCGAACAGG